This 681-nucleotide ribosomal RNA is filed under the name Triticum aestivum (bread wheat). RNAcentral's name for it is "partial small subunit ribosomal RNA". Lineage: Eukaryota; Viridiplantae; Streptophyta; Magnoliopsida; Poales; Poaceae. The record is from RNAcentral.
AUGCACGAGCUGGAGGUGGCCGCCAUUCUCGAGGACCUGCCAUCCAUCGUGCGGGCCAGAAACCGCCGCCGCCGCCAGCAGCAGAAACAGCAGCAGGCGUGGCCGGAGAUCCCCUCGUGGGGCCGGUGCCGGCCGAGAAGUCCACGCCCGGUGACGAUAGGUGUGAGGGCGUCGCCAGCUCGGACACCUAGCUCGCCAUCCCCGAGGACCAUGAGCACGACGAGGCGGCGGCGGCAGAGGACAAGGACAAGGCCAAGGCCAGCGCUGCUCCGGCGGCCCGCGCUGAAGGCGGGCGUCUACUCCCUGGGCGUGCUCCUGCUGGAGCUCCUCACCGACAAGUCCCCGACGCACGCGUCCCGCGCAGCCCACGGAUCAUCACAAAGAAAAUCCCCCGAUCCUCUCUUCUCUGUCCCUACAAUCGCCGGAUUUGCCGCCGCUGUUGGCUGGAUCCGGUGCUGCCGGAUCCAUCCUUCCCUUGGAUCCCCCAGCUCGACGCAACCGCGUCGUCCAUCAUGGCAGCGACAGCGAGCUCCUUGCUGCCCGACGAGACGUCCGUUACUUCGUAGAAAAGGCAACUCUUCCUCCUCCGGGAUCGAUUUCAUAUCCAGCUUGCUCUGCCACGGAUGGAUCUUCAGUCAUCCAUGUCGUCCGUGUUGUGCUCCCGCCGCCGGCCGUGUGUGA